GUGCAGUAGUAUGAGAAAGUUAGGGCAGUAGUGGGAUAGUUAUUUGGAAUUUCUGGGUUCUUCUAAUGGCUGCUCUU
This 77-nucleotide microRNA precursor is filed under the name Mus pahari (shrew mouse). RNAcentral describes it as "miRNA (MGP_PahariEiJ_G0007650.1)". Lineage: Eukaryota; Metazoa; Chordata; Mammalia; Rodentia; Muridae. The record is from RNAcentral.